Molecule: long non-coding RNA, 515 nt
Organism: Cheilinus undulatus (humphead wrasse)
Lineage: Eukaryota; Metazoa; Chordata; Actinopteri; Labriformes; Labridae
Exons: 3
Source: RefSeq, a predicted model, not a curated record
GAAGACAAAACAGCCUGAUCAUCAGGUGGUCCGGUUUGGACAAACUGAGAUCACUGAUGGACAUCACUGCAGCGUGAAGAGCAAUGAAGACAAGAUAUUAAAAAGUUACAGAUGACCUCCUUUCCUCAGACUCUGGACAUCUCAGCAUCCUCAUCUUCCUCGACCUGACAGCUGCUUUUGACACAAUCAACCACUCCAUCCGGCUUUGCCAUCUUGAACACUCCCUCAGCGUCACAGGCACCGCCCUAUGAUUGAUUAGAUCAUAUCUCACAGACAGAAACCAAUAUGUCCACAUAAAUAACUGCUCCUUCUCUACAGCCUCCCCCCCUUUAAAAACCAAGCACCGAACCUGGGGGGACAGAGCCUUCUCCAUAGCUGCCCCUUCCCUUUGGAACUCAUAUUCAAAACUACACAGACCUACCCACUUUCAAAUCACACCUCAAAACACACCUCUUUUGACAAGCUUUUAAUUUGUGAUUCUGAUCUUGUUUUGUCUUUUUUAUUUGUUUUUUAAU